GACCAAAGUCACCCAGUGGGAGGCACCAAAUCCCAUCUGAUCUUGGAAGCUAAACAAGGCCAGUUCUGAUUAGUACUAGGAUAGACCUACAAUGAAUACCAGAUGCUGUAGGCU
Molecule: ribosomal RNA, 114 nt
Filed under: Anolis carolinensis (green anole)
Lineage: Eukaryota; Metazoa; Chordata; Lepidosauria; Squamata; Anolidae
Source: RNAcentral